Molecule: non-coding RNA, 817 nt
Organism: Podarcis lilfordi (Lilford's wall lizard)
Lineage: Eukaryota; Metazoa; Chordata; Lepidosauria; Squamata; Lacertidae
Source: the annotation of a GenBank genome assembly
GGGGAGGUGGCAUGGUGUGAUGGAGUGGUUAAUAAUGUAAGCUGUGGACCAGGAAGUUGCUUGUUCAAAUCCAACUUUAGCCAUAGAUAUAUGACUCAAAAGUAAGUCCUAUUUAAUUCAGUGAGCUGUACUAGAGGAGCAACCCAGUCAAAUGGGCAGCAUAUUAAUACUACUACUACUAUUACGAUUGCAGCCUUGGUGUCUUAGCCUCCAUCCCUCAUCUGCAGCAUAAGGGUAAAAAUACCGACCCAUCUUGCAGGGCUGUUUUCGGAAUUGCCUGGAUAAUGUGAAGGCAAUGAAAUAUAAAAAUGCUAAGAGUUUUUGUUUAAAUAACAGUGGGUGAGUGGGAAAGGUGAUAGGAAUCGCCUCUAAUACCAAGUUCUUGUUCUGUCUCCCAGGCCCUGCAGAAGUUAUUCACUGCACAAGUCAUAAGGAAGCCAAAAUGUGGAAUUCUUAAGAGUCCUGUGCAUGCCAUCUCCACAUCUGGUAGGGAUUCUCUGAAUUCUGCUGUGUUCGGCUUUUCUGCUCUGCAUAGUCCAAGCUUACUGAUAAAUCCUGACCUUGAAUCCCUUGAGACUCUUACCUCUUCAUAAUACUACAUCAAGGGUUUAUCCCAAUUUGGAACUCUUUAUUAUCCUCUCCCGGCGAUUUGGAAAUGGACGCGGACAUCCUGUGCUCAUUAGCUACGAUUUUGAACAAGGGGCCUGAUCAAGAACUAGCGUAUAUCACUCAGCAUCCCAUAGUGAAGCAUCACCACUUCACAGGAGGCAGAUCCCGAAUUUGCUCGCUCUCUCUGUGUGUGUGUGUGUGUGUUUGU